This 495-nucleotide ribosomal RNA is filed under the name uncultured bacterium. RNAcentral's name for it is "partial 16S ribosomal RNA". It matches the Rfam family "Bacterial small subunit ribosomal RNA", at positions 28 to 507 of the family's 1533-position model. The record is from RNAcentral.
GACGAACGCUGGCGGCGUGCCUAAUACAUGCAAGUAGAACGCUGAAGGAGGAGCUUGCUCUUCUGGAUGAGUUGCGAACGGGUGAGUAACGCGUAGGUAACCUGCCUGGUAGCGGGGGAUAACUAUUGGAAACGAUAGCUAAUACCGCAUAAGAGUAGAUGUUGCAUGACAUUUACUUAAAAGGUGCAAUUGCAUCACUACCAGAUGGACCUGCGUUGUAUUAGCUAGUUGGUGGGGUAACGGCUUACCAAGGCGACGAUACAUAGCCGACCUGAGAGGGUGAUCGGCCACACUGGGAAUGAGACACGGCCCAGACUCCUACGGGAGGCAGCAGUAGGGAAUCUUCGGCAAUGGACGGAAGUCUGACCGAGCAACGCCGCGUGAGUGAAGAAGGUUUUCGGAUCGUAAAGCUCUGUUGUAAGAGAAGAACGAGUGUGAGAGUGGAAAGUUCACACUGUGACGGUAUCUUACCAGAAAGGGACGGCUAACUACGUG